Molecule: ribosomal RNA, 484 nt
Filed under: uncultured bacterium
Lineage: Bacteria
Description: partial 16S ribosomal RNA
Rfam family: Bacterial small subunit ribosomal RNA
Source: RNAcentral
AUUGAACGCUGGCGGCAUGCCUAACACAUGCAAGUCGAGCGGAUGAAGGGAGCUUGCUCUUGGCUUCAGCGGCGGACGGGUGAGUAAUGCCUAGGAAUCUGCCUUGUAGUGGGGGAUAACGUCCGGUAACGGGCGCUAAUGCCGCAUACGUCCUGAGGGUGAAAGUGGGGGAUCUUCGGUCCUCACCCUAUCUGAUGUGCCUAGGUCGUAUUAGCUAGUUGGUGGGGUAACGGCCUACCAAGGCGACGAUCCGUAACUGCUCUGAGAGGCUGAUCAGCCACACUGGAACUGAGACACGGUCCAGACUCCUACGGGAGGCAGCAGUGGGGAAUAUUGGGCAAUGGGCGAAAGCCUGAUCCAGCCACGCCGCGUGUGUGAAGAAGGUCUUCGGAUUGUAAAGCACUUUAAGUUGGGAAGAAGGGCAGUAAGUUAAUACCUGGCUGUCUUGACGUUACCAACAGAGUAAGCACCGGCUAACUUCGUG